RNAcentral lists this ribosomal RNA (253 nucleotides) under uncultured bacterium. RNAcentral describes it as "partial 16S ribosomal RNA". It matches the Rfam family "Bacterial small subunit ribosomal RNA", at positions 524 to 776 of the family's 1533-position model. The record is from RNAcentral.
UACGGAGGGUGCGAGCGUUACCCGGAUUUACUGGGUGUAAAGGGCGUGUAGGCGGCCUCGCAAGUCCGAUGCUAAAGACCGAAGCUCAACUGCGGGGGUGCGUUUGAUACUGUGGGGCUAGACGGUCGGUGAGGGUAGCGGAAUUUCCGGAGUAGCGGUGAAAUGCGCAGAUACCGGAUGGAACGCCAAUAGCGAAGGCAGCUGGCUGGACGAUUUGUGACGCUGAGGCGCGAAAGCGUGGGGAGCAAACCGG